AAAAAAACUGAUUUUUCUCUCAAAAUCCCCUCCCCUCUCCAAAAAUCCGGCCAAGGGUCCGGUGAAGCUCCGCCGUCGCUCCGGCCACAGCGUGCGAUGGCCGAAAAAUUCAAAAAGGUAAAGAAUCACUUUUUUUUGUAUUUUCCGUAAAUAUGAACUAUUAUAUAUAUGUAUAUAUAUGAUUGAAAAAAAAUAAAGAAAAAACGAACUCGAAAACAAGAAUAAAAAGGAAGAACACCUUUUUUUUUUUAAAUUUUUGCGAUUCUUGUAUUGAUUUCUCAAUAUAUUUUUUUCUUUACAUUUGUUCUCCCCCCCUUUACAAUGGUUUCAGUCGGUUUUUAUACCGAAAAUAAAAAAACAAAGAGCUCCCCCCCUCAAUAUACAGUUUUAGUAUUCGGCUUAUAUAACCGAUUACAAAGUGUUUUUUCUUUUCUUUUUUCACUGCCUCUACUGCUCUUGGUUGUUGUUUUCAUAUUUCUUGCAGGUAUCUUUUUCAGCCUUCUUUUGCAGACGAUGGUGGUCAACGGAGGCAAGGAUUUGCCAUUUUGGUGCAAGUAGGAGCUGUCUCGGGCGACGAGUGCGCUGGAGGCACAUGGGCAGCGGCGCAAUGGAGCUAGGGUUAGGGUUUCAAUUUUGUUUUACUGAAACUAGUUAAUGUUUUGGGCUUAUCGGCCCUGGGUAAAGGGUUUGUAAUUUAAGUUUUAGUUUGGGCUGGGAUUAAUUUAUGUUAUUAAUAAGGUCUGUACAUAUUUAAUUAGUAAUAAGUUUGCACCAAUAAUCGAAGGACAGCUUGGAAAGAAACAAAAAAGUGGGCAGCUAUAGGCUAUAGUAAUUAAAUAAAAUA
This 844-nucleotide long non-coding RNA is filed under the name Gossypium raimondii (Peruvian cotton). Its description in RNAcentral is "long non-coding RNA (GRAI_LNC004752)". Lineage: Eukaryota; Viridiplantae; Streptophyta; Magnoliopsida; Malvales; Malvaceae. The record is from RNAcentral.